GAUGAAGAACGUAGUGAAAUGCGAUAAGUAGUGUGAAUUGCAGAAUUCAGUGAAUCAUCGAAUCUUUGAACGCACAUUGCGCCUUCUAGUAUUCUGGGAGGCAUGCCUGUUUGAGCGUCAUUAAACCUCUCUCAAGUAUGAAUACUUGGAUGUGAAGGAAGAGUACCUUAAACUUAAGGAGUGUUCUCCUUUGAAAUUGAUUAGCAGAUGGUAAUGUUAUUAAAUCCCUGAUGUUGUAAGAAAUAACAGUGGUUUUGUAGACUAUUAUCUAGCUUUAAAUUAUAAUUUUUAUUAUGGUUGACCUCAAAUCAGGUAAGGAUACCCGCUGAACUUAAGCAUAUCAAUAAGCGGAGGA
This 355-nucleotide unclassified non-coding RNA is filed under the name soil metagenome. RNAcentral describes it as "partial contains 5.8S ribosomal RNA, internal transcribed spacer 2, and large subunit ribosomal RNA". The stretch from base 1 to 120 matches the Rfam family "5.8S ribosomal RNA", at positions 35 to 154 of the family's 154-position model. The record is from RNAcentral.